GAAAGGAGGCUGCUCAGUGGCUACUUCUCAGUUUGGAUACCCUGGCUGGGGAAAGUUAUUGACUGCUCUUGUCCUGGGGAGCACUAUGCUGGUCUCCAGAGACUGGAAACAUGGACUCUUCUGGGUGACAGCAUAUGGAAUCACUAGGAGUUAGUGGUCUGCAAAUAUUGAAUGGAGAAUCUACUCAGCAAACAACUGAACUGUUUCUCCAUCAGUGAAGUGAGGAGGGAAGGGAAUUGUGUUUCUGCAAACGAAUUCAACACAUGUGCAAACUGGGAUCCUCCUCUUCCUUCACGUAACCAGUGAGCUCAUCAGUCAGCUAAUAAAAAUCUAUUAAAAACUCAUUAAAUGUGCCAAGAAAGCACCUCUUGCAAGAAACCUACAGAAAGUGAAAUAAUUUGAAAUGUAACAGUUCACUUGCUGAGUCACUGCCUAAGCUUGUGUCACCCUGCCGUUCCUCUGCAAUGCCCCCAUUGUUUUGUGCACAUGCUGUGUAUAAAAUCUAGAUCACAAGCUCCUCAAAUCAGGGAUUUUGCCUGUCUGACCCAUGAGGCACAGAGCUGUUUAUUGCAAAUGAAAGAGGACUGUGAUGGAGUGUCCAUCCCACACAAGACCUGAGGGGGUUAAGGUGGCUAGGUAGGCCAAUUAACUGCUCAGGCUGCACCUGGAGGAGGAACCAGGGAGCAGGGAUUGAUUAGAGAUGUGAUUCAGCUGGACAGGAACAGGAGAGGCCUGUAUAAAGCCCAGAAGCUGAGAGCAGCAAGGGGCUGCAGGGAAAUAAUCUGCAGUCGCUCCCUGGGAGAAGGGAGGUAUGUGGCUAGUAAGCCCAGAGAGAGGGGAGAGCCAGGAAGGUAGGAAAGGCUCAGUGGAGAAGCAGCAAGGCACAGGAUAGUGCAGGCCUUGCCUGCCAGAGAAGCAGCUGUUUUGGAGCUAUGGCUUGGGUUAAACCUCAUUGAAAUGGGUAGGCAUGAUAGCCACCCUGGAUUUGGGAUAAAUGUAAGAAACAGUUAAGCUCCUUUAUGGAACCAGAAGGGGGGGAGCAGCUUUCACUCAAAGCACAGGCACAUGUGG
Molecule: long non-coding RNA, 1071 nt
Organism: Mauremys mutica (yellowpond turtle)
Lineage: Eukaryota; Metazoa; Chordata; Testudines; Geoemydidae
Exons: 3
Source: RefSeq, a predicted model, not a curated record